This 323-nucleotide unclassified non-coding RNA is filed under the name soil metagenome. Its description in RNAcentral is "partial contains 5.8S ribosomal RNA, internal transcribed spacer 2, and large subunit ribosomal RNA". The stretch from base 1 to 120 matches the Rfam family "5.8S ribosomal RNA", at positions 35 to 154 of the family's 154-position model. The record is from RNAcentral.
GAUGAAGAACGUAGCGAAAUGCGAUAAGUAAUGCGAAUUGCAGAAUUCAGUGAGUCAUCGAAUCUUUGAACGCACAUUGCGCCCUGUGGUAUUCCGCAGGGCAUGCCUGUUCGAGCGUCAUUUCAACCCUCAAGCUCUGCUUGGUGUUGGGCCCUGCCCGCUGCGGCCGGCCCUAAAGACAGUGGCGGUGCCGCCUGGCCCUGAGCGUAGUACAUCUCUCGCUCCAGUGCCCGGUGGUAGCCUGCCAGAACCCCAACUCUCGUGGUUGACCUCGGAUCAGGUAGGCAUCCCCGCUGAACUUAAGCAUAUCAAUAAGCGGAGAA